Molecule: ribosomal RNA, 459 nt
Filed under: uncultured bacterium
Lineage: Bacteria
Description: partial 16S ribosomal RNA
Rfam family: Bacterial small subunit ribosomal RNA
Source: RNAcentral
CCUACGGGGGGCAGCAGUGAGGAAUAUUGGUCAAUGGUCGGGAGACUGAACCAGCCAAGUCGCGUGAGGGAAGACGGUCCUAUGGAUUGUAAACCUCUUUUGUCGGGGAGCAAAAGACGCCACGCGUGGUGUUCCGAGAGUACCCGAAGAAAAAGCAUCGGCUAACUCCGUGCCAGCAGCCGCGGUAAUACGGAGGAUGCGAGCGUUAUCCGGCUUUAUUGGGUUUAAAGGGUGCGCAGGGGGUCUGUUAAGUCAGCGGUCAAAGCCCGGGGCUCAACCCCGGCCCGCCGUUGAAACUGGCAGUCUCGAGUUGGAGAGAAGUAUGCGGAAGGCGCGGUGUAGCGGUGAAAUGCAUAGAUAUCGCGCAGAACUCCGAUUGCGAAGGCAGCAUGCCGGCUCCACACUGACGCUGAGGCACGAAAGCGUGGGUAUCGAACAGGAUUAGAUACCCGUGUAGUC